Molecule: ribosomal RNA, 253 nt
Filed under: uncultured bacterium
Lineage: Bacteria
Description: partial 16S ribosomal RNA
Rfam family: Bacterial small subunit ribosomal RNA
Source: RNAcentral
UACGUAGGGGGCGAGCGUUGUCCGGAUUUAUUGGGCGUAAAGGGCUUGUAGGUGGAUGCUUAAGUCAGAUGUGAAAUACCCGGGCUCAACCUGGGAACUGCAUUUGAAACUGGGCGACUAGAGUGCAGGAGAGGAAAGCGGAAUUCCUAGUGUAGCGGUGAAAUGCGUAGAUAUUAGGAAGAACACCAGUGGCGAAGGCGGCGUUCUGGACUGUAACUGACGCUGAGGCUCGAAAGCGUGGGGAGCAAACAGG